UACGUAGGGUGCGAGCGUUGUCCGGAAUUACUGGGCGUAAAGAGCUCGUAGGUGGUUUGUCACGUCGUCUGUGAAAUUCCGGGGCUUAACCUCGGGCGUGCAGGCGAUACGGGCAAUACUUGAGUGCUGUAGGGGAGACUGGAAUUCCUGGUGUAGCGGUGAAAUGCGCAGAUAUCAGGAGGAACACCGGUGGAGAAGGCGGGUCUCUGGACUGUAACUGACACUGAGGCACGAAAGCGUGGGGAGCAAACAGGAUUAGAUACUCGGGUA
This 270-nucleotide ribosomal RNA is filed under the name uncultured prokaryote. RNAcentral's name for it is "partial 16S ribosomal RNA". It matches the Rfam family "Bacterial small subunit ribosomal RNA", at positions 524 to 792 of the family's 1533-position model. The record is from RNAcentral.